CUUCGUUCAUCAAGGAGCCCUUCUCUUCUCGUGGAGAAGCCUAGGGUUCGUUCUUGAUGGGCGCGGAAGUGCUCGUCGCCGUCGCGCUUUCCAUGGUGGAUCGAUUGAGCGCCUAGAUCGGUACGUGAAGUUAGCUCUUGAUUUGAUCGUCUAUUGAUGCAUCUGAUCUUAUAUGCACACACUACCAAAUAAUUUCUGGAAUAUAACCUAAACUUGGAUCGUCAGAUCUAUCCGAACUCUUUCUUUUUCCUCUGAAACUUCCGAGACAGAACUCAACUCAGUUCGUAUUGCCGCAAUCUCGGUUGGUAUUUUAUCUGCAUUAUAUAUCAACGGGAGUCACUCGAACAGGUCAUUCGAGGUUUCGUGUUUGUUCAAAACAAGAUUUAGCAUAUAUAUAUAUAUAUAUAUAUAUAUAUAUAUAUAUAUAUAUAUAUAUAUAUAUAUAUAUNNNNNNNNNNNNNNNNNNNNUAUAUAUACUAUAUAUAUAUAUAUAUAUAUAUAUAUAUAUAUAUAUAUAUAUAUAUAUAUAUAUAUAUAUAUAUAUAUAUAUAUAUAUAUAUAUAUAUAUAUAUAUAUAUAUAUAUAUAUAUAUAUAUGUAUGUAAUGUUGGGAUACAGGUGCUCGUAUGGGAUCUAUGUAUAUGACACCAAGGUUUCACCUGGAAUUGUUGGUCAGAUCUUUUACUUAUUUGUGAUGUCCUAUGAGCAUUAGAUCGAACUCAACAUCCGAACUAGUUGAAAAUCGUCAGAGUGUCUGAUGGUCUUCAUUUUUUUUCUUUUACUUGAAUGAAUAAUCAUUGCCGCUAAUUGUAUCUUGUUGGAGGAAGAAAGAUCAGAAUUGCUUUUUUAACCAAAGCAUCUGAGUGUGCCAUGUCAUCUAUACUGCUGAAGCAUGAUUGUGUUGAUUUCUUAUGUCCUGCAUUAGAACUUGACCAUGUUAGGCAUUGAUUUCAACAGUGUCUAAGUGCAUGAACUUUAACUCUUGGAGCUACUGAGCUCAUGCGUGCUGCCAUUCCCACACAACUGCAGGUAUAUUAUAUAUUCAAUUUCUUUAUUCUGUUAAAGCAAGAUCAAGAUUAAGUUUUCAAGGCUGUGGAGCAGUCUUUCUUCUAGUACAUCUCUUUCUGUAGUUUUUCUUGCUCUGUAAAUCGCCUGAUUCUUUUUAUUUCUACAAAGGUCUUCAGCAGAUUAGCAUGUUAGAAUUCGGUAAUAAGGGAUCAUUAUUUGGACCAAGAUUUUCUUCGAGUGACCAGAAUUGCACUUUGGGAGUAGAUACUGAUUGAUUUGACAGAUCUGGAAAAUUAGUUAAUAGGUGCAACAUUCAUUAUUGUGCAUGAUGAGAUAUGCAUAAUUUUACAGUAAUCAGUUAUCCAACAUAAACUCAAUAGAUGAUACUAACUUGUUUAUGAGAUACCUGUCAUACAAAUUCUCAUCCAUUGUGCCAUCUUUAAAUUGACAGCUUUCUGUCUCUCAUUAUCUGCAUCUCCUUUGACAUCGAAACCUUCAAAUGACAUCCUAUUCUUAGUUGGGUGAGAUUCAGCUAUUUAUUUCUUCAUCUUCGUUGCCCUCCAUGCCUUUUAUCCAAUCCUCGGUGCCUUCAUUUUCUAAUCUGGCUCUAAUUAAUGCUUCAAAGUCAAUUCAACUUCAGCUAUUUGUUACAUGCCCCAUUCUAUAUCACCAUUUAAAGUUCACUUCGACCUUUUGGGACAAUGGAAUCCAACUUAAAUCCAUUUUUUAACAAAAAAUAAGAUGUAGGCAAAAAUCUGAGAACCCAAAGAUUCUUCAAAAAUUAUUGGUUGUCAGGUUUUUUCUUCUACAAUUUUGGUCGGCCAUUAAAUUUAAUCUGUUUGGCAUGAUCAUCUGGACUGGUGCAGCUGCAGUCUAGUUUUUAAGAUUCUUGAAGGAUUACUUGAAUCAGUUUUCUAAUCUCUUCAUAUCAGUUAAAGUUGGCAAGAAAAGAAGUACUCAGUAUUGAAUUAUAUACUUUUGUAUGUUUGCUUCUAUGUUGACCGGUGGAGUGAUGACUUCUGUCAAAAUGCACAGAACACCUCCAUGAAUGAUCUGUUCAUGGCCAUAAAGAAUCUGUUCCAGAAGUUUUUCUUGGCAUGCCUUUCAUGUUUCCUUCAUUCAUUCCCAAUUCUCUAAGAUUUAGUUCUUAAAUCAAGAGACUAUUUACCAACUAAUAAGUGGUCUAGCCAGUGCUUUUUUGAGCACCUCCAUUCAGGAUUUUAUGCUGGUGUCUAGAUAUAUCAUUCACAUGUUCAGAAGAGUAACUAAAAGAAAAAAAAAAUUAAGAAGAAUAGCAAAUACCAGACUUUAAUACCUUCAAUUAUCAGUUAUUAUUUUCAUCCUACAUCCUAACUUUCUCACACUUAUGUUAAUAUGAGUAGUAUUUCUGCCACUUUCAGCUGUGUUACAACCUGUAUUUAUAUUAGAUCGAACCAUUACUGGCAUCAUUUUUCAAUUUGCUUUGCUUAUGGCAGAGCAAGGAACUUGAUCACUCUAUUGCAAUGUUAAAUAAUAUGAUCUAGACAUUUCUUUCAUCCGGCUUUGGCUUUUAGCUUUAUUCUAACUUGCAUAUUGGUGUGUUACCAGUUUGUAUAUCUUAAACAUGAGCCUUUAUAAGGGAAUGAGCUUAUAGUUGUGGUCCUGGUUGACUUUAUCUAGUCAUCAUCUAAAAUGCCUUACAUUGCAAAAUUCCAGACAGGUUCUUUUCUUGCUGCCAUUCUUAAUUAUUGUGUACAGGUGUCAUUCUUAUAUGAAUUAUCUUUUACUUUUAUUCUUCCUACAAAUUUAAGGAGAAUCAAAUUUCAUGUUGUUGGUCUUUUAAUCAUCUUAUUUACAAAUUGUGCUACAAUUCUUUUGCUAUUGCUGGUGGACUUGUUUCAGUCUGCAUCAUAUCAGCCGCCAUUAUCCGAGUAGCUUGAUUAAAUCCUUAGGCACUAAUCUGGACUGUGCAAGAGACAUGACAUGCAUAACUUCAUUCACAUAAUUAGCCUUUACUUCUAUUUAGAACAUAUGUCUGGUGGUUUCCCCAUGCAUUCAUAUUAGAGAUGAUUGAUUGAUUUUAUGAAGAAUGUUCACUUAUUUAAUUAUCUGAUAAGCAUUCAAUGAAUUUUUCCAUUGAUGUUUUUUUGUAUUCUUGUGAGGCAUUAUAAGAGAUAAUAAACAUUAAGAAUAUCCAGCUUUAGAUUUUUUAUACUCAGUUCUUAUGAUAAUCAAACAAUGAUCACAAUAUGACUAAUCUCCUACUCUUGGUUUCUCAUAUUAUCCUUUUAACUUAUUUUUGACUAAUCUAACUCUCAUUUUCCUCAUGAUUAGGGUUGGAAACAGAUCAAAUAUAAAUUAUAUACUUGGAAAACCUUAUUUAUACCUGCUAUUAAUCAUUGGAUGCAAAUAUGAAUAUAAAUAGUGGACAGAUUCUGAAUUUUUUAAUUGCAUUUGUGCUACAUAGAUAUGGUUACAUUUCUGAUAUAUAUAUAUAUAUAUAUAUAUAUAGUGAGCCAUAUAUGUUAGCGAUAAAUAGUUAAGCCAUUGAUUUGGACCCACUAAUGAUAUUUCUUAUAGAAAGUCCAGAAAGCAAAUGUCAGAAUAGUAAGGGAGAAUGGAAAAAGGAGCAAAAAUGUACCUUGAAAACCAUCACAGUUAUCACAUAUAUUUUAGUUCGAUGGCUACAUAUAUUGAGGCCUGUAUAUGAAUAUUGACUCACAGUCUCAUCCAUGUCUAAGAUAAUUAAAUUAACAAAAUUUUGAUAUAGAUGCAGAUAUGUGAUCGAUUUAUAAUGAUAGCUAGGCUAGGCCUUGAGCUACAACAUAACAAACUCUAACGGAUGAUCCAUCCGACCCACUUUCACACUUUAGUAAUAGAAUAUCAUCUUUUUUGCUUAACUCUUACAAUACUGUUACUGAAAAAAAACACUCUCUACUAUUUACAUACAUCCAGAUUUCCAUGCAUUACUAUGGUUGUAUAGUUUUGUUCACUUUCCACCUUCUACAACUUUGGUCUUUGGUAUUCUUUUAGUAUAUGGAUUGAUCUCAUUAUACACAACUAUGCCUAGUAAUCUUCCAUAGGAAUAAGCAGGAUAGGAAUUUCUUUUAAUAUCCAAUAUCAAGAUAUAUUUGCAUGCAGAUGUGCUUGUGUGCAUAUGUAUAUUUCUCGUUUUCCUUCCAUUUAUUUGUAUUACUACACAUAGGUGGGACACACACGAGGCGCUUUAUUGGGUAUUAAACCCUUGACUCGUGGAAAAAUUCUCCUUGAUACAAACUUCUUGAAUGGUGAUUCAAGUCAAUAUCAUGUUGAAAUACUUUUUUUUAUGUUUAGUAAUACAUCAAUUUUUGGUUCAACUUCUUAAUUAAUUCUUUUUCUGAAUCCUUCAUUUUUUAGUUUUAACAGAAUCGAUUUUCAUAUAAUACUUUAGCAAAAUCAUUUGAUUCUUUCUGAACACUAUUAGUUAGAUUUGUUGGAGAAGCUUAACAUGAAUGAGUGGCUGAUAAUGAGGAUGUCCUCUCAUGGUGCUACCAUGGAUCAGAAGAGAUGAUUUCAAGAAUUUUCAGCAAUUGAAACUACCUGAAAAAGCAGAGAAUCUGGAGGUAGUUUUGUUAUGGCAAUGGUUUAUAGAUCAGUUACUUGAUAUGCUGAGUGAGUGAGUUUUAAAUCAAGGAUAUCAAUGAAAUCAAGGAUAUCAAAAUGUAAGCAGAGGGAUACAUAGAAUAUGUGGAAAGCUUCAACUAUUGAAAUUUCAUGAACCGGGGGGAGAGGAUUUAAAACUAGUUGUGAAAAAAGAUGACAAGAUACAAGAGGAGAAAUACAUUGUCUUAUUGAAAUAAUGAUAUCUAACUCUAAGUUGGACUGACAUUCCAACUCGGAAAGUUUUACUGCAUUUUGCAUUUAUUUUCUAAAAACACAUAAAACUCAUCAAAGUGACCUGAAGAGAAGGAAAAGUAAUAGUUUUAUCAUGAAACUUGUGGGUACUUAGCCAUGAACUGAAUGGGAAGAUUUUAUUGUUGGUGCCUUUAGCCCUAGCUUGAUGCUCUGUUGCUGAAGCAACUACUAGGAGCUCUUAUCACUAAACAGCCGUCGUUGCUUAAAGGGUUGACAAGUAUAUUUAUAUUUUUAAGGCCCUUAGAGGAUAAGAAAUUCAAGUAGGAAGAAAACUCUCAUAUAAAAGAAAGAAACCAGGAAUUUAUGGAUUGAUUUUUAUAUAAAAGAAAACUCUAUGUAUCUUUAGGUUUUGCUAGAAGACAUGUAGGUAAAACACUUUAAUAAGGUUUCUCUCCAGGAGAUUUAGAAAGGGUGAGGGAUUAUGUGAGAGGAGGGGUGCAAUGGGCUUUGAACUUGAUUUCUGAUUAACUCAAGAUAACUUCUAGUUUAUACCCCAUGAUGAAAAAUUGAAGUGUUUCUCUAUGGAUAUAGACAAGUAGCAUCGAAUCAUAUGGAUCUUGUAUUCACUCUUGUUUUAGGUUUAUUUUUUGUCAUUGAUUUUCUUUGGUUACAUCAGAUUUGUUGUUAGUUAGGACAUGAUUAAUUUGUCUCGUUAGAAAAUGAUCAAUUAAUUGACGGUGAAUGAAGUCGGCCAGCACGUCAAGGAUGACAAAUGGUUUCACUUAACUAUCAACCAUCUAUAAAGGUUUCAUGGUCCUCUUCUUAUCACAUUCAGGAAAAAGUCUCAUUCAUCCAAACUGUUAGUCAACAGGAUUAUGGGAGCUUAUUCAAUACUGAGUGUGGGAGUUUCUUCCAGAGAUUGAUUUCUUCCAAUCUUUCGGCCAUGGAUCCUUUACCUUGUUAGGUAACCAAUCUUGAUGUGGUGGGGAUCACAAGUGGCCACAUUUAAAAGCAAAGAAGAGAAUAAAAGCCAUUCACCAGCUAAAGGAGAAACAUCAUUGAUUUUGUCAUAACUCAUUGGGAACCGUGGGGCUCUUACAAAUUUUAUGCCAGCCUAUAUCAUAGACUGACGACUCUUCAAAGCCACAGAAAGCUGCUGCGCAACCCAUUUCACUUGUGCCUGGGGUGGGAGCUGCAACAGUUAGUUAUGGGCACAGAUAAAGAGCUGGCUUUGAAAGGUUUCUAAAGUUAUGGGCAGGGACCAAUUUGUUGCUGGCUUCUAAAUCAAUGCUUGGUAAUUGAAGCAUUCUAGGUGCUUGCUCACGUUGUCUCCAUGCGCUUUAUCUUUCUUGCUGUUUGCUUGCAGAAAGGUAAUGCGAUUCUCCUACUAGUCUAAAUGUUCUUAAAUCAAGUCAUAAAAAUAAUAUAGCCUGUCUUCUUAAUAGUCAAGUCAUAAAACCCGCACCGGAGGAAGUCAGUUAAUCCUUAUUCAUCCGGUGUUUGGCAAUGAUGGAAACAUGGAGGAGGAAGCUAAGAACACGUCGAUGAUAGGGAGAUUAUGCGCAAAACAACUGCAGUGCAGUUUGAUGUAUCCUUACUGGCUCUGAUUGGGACAAGGCUGUGAAUCGUUGUAAUGAGAGACUUUCCAGGGCACGAGUCUCGAUCAGCUGCAGCUGUGCCUUGAAACAGAGUGAGCAAAGAGGAAUAGUGGUAGUCUGGGGAUGUCAUGGAUGGGCCUCCCAGAGUCCUUUGUUCUUUUUGUCCUGGGGUCGCGGUGGUGACCAGUGGGAGGACACAAAGGCAAAGUGAAGGGAUUCUGAUGCUUGUACUCCAAAUUCUGAGGAAGGCUUCAGAGUACGGAGCACACAGUAACUCUUGGCUGCACCUCAUCAAACCCCCUCCCCUCCCUCUCUGCUCCACCUUAAAAGCAGAUAACAACACACACCCACUCUUUUUCUUUCUUUCUGUCCUUCUUUCAACUUUUACCCACCUCUCUACUCUUACUCUUACAUGAAUCAUUUCCACCGCAAAUCUUUCAACUUUGACAGUGAGUGGUCACGUAAAAGCCUUUCUAUGUUCAAAGUCUGUUGUUUGACCGCUGACAAUCUUCACACUUUUGUUGACGAACUUAAUCAUCGUUCGAUAAGUAGCUGAGGCUGAAGCAAGUUUUGGGAAACAGUCUCUCCACUUCAUGAUUGUUUUGGUUGAUCUCUGUAGAGAAUGCAUAAAAGAAAGAAAGUAGUCGUUUGUGUGUAUUUAAUGCGAUCCUUCGGCUGUUACUGGUGUAUAGUUAAUGGGCCAAAAUUGGCCUAUAGUUCUCACAUCAUCUGUCUUCUCACAGAUGAAAGUUCUUCGAGCUCUUACUUCCAAAUUCAUGGUGUGCUUAUAGCAAAUGCAUGCAUAUAUACACUUGAUUGUUUCUGAUCCUACUCUUUGCUUGUCCAUUUAGUAAUUUGAGACAGUUUUUUGCAAUCCAAUACGAUAUGAUAGUUAAUCAUCUAUUAAUUUUGUCGAGCCUUUUUUUUUAGCGUUUCUCUCGUUUCCGAUGCCAAAGCCUAGUUGAAUUUUCAUCUGUUUUCCCACCAUUUGUUCCAUUCGGGCUCCUGUUUCUUUCUGCUUGCCCAUUCAACUUCUUGAAACGUGCUCGCUCUUUUACCAUCUUCUCGGUAGUUUCCUUGGAUACCCGAAGACUACAUUCAAAGAUGUGGAUGUCUUUUACUUUAGUUUUGUUGCUUUUUGUAGAGAUAAGACACAUCAAAAUUUAUUCCCUAUAUUUCUUGGUGGCAUGCAUUAUUCCCUGAUUUGAUCUGAGAGCAGGAGGGUGGCCGUGAACGUCAAUGUUUGUCUUUUCUCGUGGUCCGAAGAACAACGAGAAAAAGGGAAGGAAAGAAGAGUAGAAAUGUUCUUUUUGUCAUAAGCUGCCCCCACACUUUUUUGCCUUGCGUCUUUGGUCACAUGCUCUUCCUUUCUUCUCCCUCAAGCUUCUAAACUGACCUUACCCUCCAGCAAAAGGUACGUACCCAAAUGCGCACAACUUCAAGUCAUAGGUGGAGAACAGCAUCCUUGGCUUCUAAAGAUCGGAAGAAAUUUUCUUUUUCUUUUCUUUUGUUUCCUUUUUCGUUGUCUUCUUUUGAUGGUACGAUGUAUUGGUGGCGGAAUGAUCGGUUUUUCUUUGUGCUACCUGAAUUAGCCUUUGAAAUAUGUUUUUUUUUUUCAAAUAAUUAUUUCAUACAUUGGUCUAACGAAAUCUUCCUUUGAUACUUCAAUCAG
RNAcentral lists this long non-coding RNA (8090 nucleotides) under Musa acuminata (dwarf banana). Its description in RNAcentral is "long non-coding RNA (MACU_LNC001203)". The record is from RNAcentral. Lineage: Eukaryota; Viridiplantae; Streptophyta; Magnoliopsida; Zingiberales; Musaceae.